This 32-nucleotide small RNA is filed under the name Arabidopsis thaliana (thale cress). RNAcentral describes it as "ATSL069740". The record is from RNAcentral. Lineage: Eukaryota; Viridiplantae; Streptophyta; Magnoliopsida; Brassicales; Brassicaceae.
UUGUUGUUUCUUCUUCUUCUUCUUUUUUCUUC